Molecule: long non-coding RNA, 603 nt
Filed under: Salvia miltiorrhiza (redroot sage)
Lineage: Eukaryota; Viridiplantae; Streptophyta; Magnoliopsida; Lamiales; Lamiaceae
Description: long non-coding RNA (SMIL_LNC006445)
Source: RNAcentral
CGCGAUUAGGACGUGAACUUUAAAUUAUCGCAGUUAACUUUCAAAGCUCAAGUUUCAGGUGUGGGAUUUAUUUCAGUACAUGCACGUGGUUAAUAUUUGUCCAUUUUAAUAUUAUGUGUUUACCGUAUGUGUUGUAAAAAUAUUUAUCGCUAGGGGCCAGCAUAAUUGGUCCAGGACUUCACCGUCCUUGGUAUGCCACAAAGCGAUUUCAUGUUACAGGGUUGCAACCAUUAUAUUGUCGCCAGGGAUCCAUAUAUAGGGUCCGGGACAUUAAAGUCCUUGGAGUUGCCACAGUGCGUAUGGAAGUUAUGUUACGUUAUGACAAUAUGUGUUACCAUUUUAUUAACAUGGACAACUAUUGCAUGUUUCCACACUGAGUGUACCCUGUAUGCUCAUCCCAUAUUCAACAGUUUCAGGUGAUUGAUAUUGGAGGCGCGUGGAGAGUCGAAUGGGCGCGUCGAAUCUAUUUAAAAUAAAUGUUUCUUAAAACAUAUUAUGUUAUUUCAUGUUAUAUCUUUUGGUUAUGUAAACUCUGAAAUUCUAUACUAUUUGAGAUUUGUGUGUGAUUUAUUUAAAUAAAUGUUGUUAUAUUAUUUUAAUGUC